Molecule: ribosomal RNA, 1451 nt
Filed under: Pantoea ananatis
Lineage: Bacteria; Pseudomonadati; Pseudomonadota; Gammaproteobacteria; Enterobacterales; Erwiniaceae
Description: bacterial SSU rRNA
Rfam family: Bacterial small subunit ribosomal RNA
Source: RNAcentral
GUGUCUGGCUCAGAUUGAACGCUGGCGGCAGGCCUAACACAUGCAAGUCGGGACGGUAGCACAGAGGAGCUUGCUCCUCGGGUGACGAGUGGCGGACGGGUGAGUAGUGUCUGGGGAUCUGCCCGAUAGAGGGGGAUAACCACUGGAAACGGUGGCUAAUACCGCAUAACGUCGCAAGACCAAAGAGGGGGACCUUCGGGCCUCUCACUAUCGGAUGAACCCAGAUGGGAUUAGCUAGUAGGCGGGGUAACGGCCCACCUAGGCGACGAUCCCUAGCUGGUCUGAGAGGAUGACCAGCCACACUGGAACUGAGACACGGUCCAGACUCCUACGGGAGGCAGCAGUGGGGAAUAUUGCACAAUGGGCGCAAGCCUGAUGCAGCCAUGCCGCGUGUAUGAAGAAGGCCUUCGGGUUGUAAAGUACUUUCAGCGGGGAGGAAGGCGAUGUGGUUAAUAACCGCGUCGAUGACGUACCGCAGAAGAAGCACCGGCUAACUCCGUGCCAGCAGCCGCGGUAAUUACGGGAAGGGGUGCAAGCGUUAAUCGAAUUACUGAGCGUAAGCGCCACGCAGCGUCUGUAGUCAGAUGUGAAUCCCGGCUUAACCUGGAACUGCAUUGAACUGCAGGCUUGAGUCUCGUAGAGGGGGGUAGAAUUCCAGGUGUAGCGGUGAAAUGCGUAGAGAUCUGGAGGAAUACCGGUGGCGAAGGCGGCCCCCUGGACGAAGACUGACGCUCAGGUGCGAAAGCGUGGGGAGCAAACAGGAUUAGAUACCCUGGUAGUCCACGCCGUAAACGAUGUCGACUUGGAGGUUGUUCCCUUGAGGAGUGGCUUCCGGAGCUAACGCGUUAAGUCGACCGCCUGGGGAGUACGGCCGCAAGGUUAAAACUCAAAUGAAUUGACGGGGGCCCGCACAAGCGGUGGAGCAUGUGGUUUAAUUCGAUGCAACGCGAAGAACCUUACCUACUCUUGACAUCCAGAGAACUUAGCAGAGAUGCUUUGGUGCCUUCGGGAACUCUGAGACAGGUGCUGCAUGGCUGUCGUCAGCUCGUGUUGUGAAAUGUUGGGUUAAGUCCCGCAACGAGCGCAACCCUUAUCCUUUGUUGCCAGCGAUUCGGUCGGGAACUCAAAGGAGACUGCCGGUGAUAAACCGGAGGAAGGUGGGGAUGACGUCAAGUCAUCAUGGCCCUUACGAGUAGGGCUACACACGUGCUACAAUGGCGCAUACAAAGAGAAGCGACCUCGCGAGAGCAAGCGGACCUCAUAAACACAAGUAGUCCGGAUCGGAGUCUGCAACUCGACUCCGUGAAGUCGGAAUCGCUAGUAAUCGUGGAUCAUAGGCCCUCAGGAAUACGUUCCCGGGCCUUGUACACACCGCCCGUCUCAAACAUGGGAGUGGGUUGCAAAAGAAGUAGGUAGCUUAACCUUCGGGAGGGCGCUACCUACAGAUGAUC